GGAGUUGUGGCUCAGUGGUAAGAGCACUUGCCUAGUAUGUGUGAGGUCCUGGGUUCGAUUCUCAGCACCA
This 70-nucleotide transfer RNA is filed under the name Ictidomys tridecemlineatus (thirteen-lined ground squirrel). RNAcentral's name for it is "Spermophilus tridecemlineatus (thirteen-lined ground squirrel) tRNA". It matches the Rfam family "tRNA". From Rfam's summary of the family: Transfer RNA (tRNA) molecules are approximately 80 nucleotides in length. Their secondary structure includes four short double-helical elements and three loops (D, anti-codon, and T loops). The record is from Rfam by way of RNAcentral. Lineage: Eukaryota; Metazoa; Chordata; Mammalia; Rodentia; Sciuridae.